RNAcentral lists this ribosomal RNA (497 nucleotides) under uncultured bacterium. Its description in RNAcentral is "partial 16S ribosomal RNA". It matches the Rfam family "Bacterial small subunit ribosomal RNA", at positions 28 to 507 of the family's 1533-position model. The record is from RNAcentral.
GAUGAACGCUGGCGGCGUGCCUAAUACAUGCAAGUCGAGCGAACAGACGAGGAGCUUGCUCCUCUGACGUUAGCGGCGGACGGGUGAGUAACACGUGGAUCACCUACCUAUAUUACUGGGAUAACUUCGUGAAACCGGAGCUAAUACCGGAUAAUAUAUUGAACCGCAUGGUUCAAUAGUUAAAGACGGUUUUGCUGUCACUUAUAGAUGGAUCCGCGCCGCAUUAGCUAGUUGGUAAGGUAACGGCUUACCAAGGCGACGAUGCGUAGCCGACCUGAGAGGGGGAUCAGGCACACUGGAACUGAGACACGGUCCAGAAUCCUACGGGAGGCAGCAGUAGGGAAUCUUCCGCAAUGGGCGAAAGCCUGACGGAGCAACGCCGCGUGAGUGAUGAAGGUCUUCGGAUCGUAAAACUCUGUUAUUAGGGAAGAACAAAUGUGUAAGUAACUAUGCACGUCUUGACGGUACCUAAUCAGAAAGCCACGGCUAACUACGUG